GUCGUCCCACUCGCUUCAACCGCGUCCACGACAAGUGGGGGCGACUGUGACGUCGUGGUGCAACGGCUCGCCGCGUAUGCGCCGAGUCCAGAGGUCAAAUCUUGCUUAUGCGCACCGGCCGCGCCCACGCGUUCUUUAAUUCUUAUAAACUUUAAUUUCUUAUGUACUUAAUUGUUGUACUUUAAAGUCAUUAUACGUAUUUACAUGUUAUACAGUCCACUAGUAUUAUUUACUCCACCUGCUGAACUAUCGUCGCAACAUAUGGUCCUUCUCCCAAGAAAAAUUGAACUGGACAAAGAAGACAAAGGACUUUGGAGGACAUCGUACACGUCACCGAGUGACUCAGUGAUUAUUAUCAAGUUUCUUCGCUGUGAACAUUGUUACGUCGUGAUAUAUCGGCACGGCUUGAGACUUUUCGGCCGUCUUAGCUGACGUCACCCAACUGACACGAGAAGAAACGGAAUUUGGGCUACUCAUCAUUCGUCAUCAUAACGGACAGCAAAUACACGUGUUCGGAUUGUCGUCGUGCAUUGAGAUAUCUGACAAGAAUACUCCUCGGCACAGUCAUCAUCAGUGGUUUGCACCGGAAAACAGUGAGCUCGUUCCAAUUCCUUAUUUAAUCAUCUCAUCAUCAUAAUCAUAUUCAUUAUCAUCCAUAUCCUGCAUUUCAUUCAUUUUUUACCUCAUAAUAAUUAAAGAACGGUGUUACAUUUUUGCAAGUCAUCUCCACAUUAUUUCAUCAUAUUUCAUCCCAUUUUACCAUUUAUUUCAACUGUUUCAUCUCUUCAUUCAUUCAUUUCACUAUAAGUUAAUCAUAUCCAUUGCAGUGUCGUUUUAUAUUUCAGCCAAAAUCGAAUAAGUAUUAUUUUGUAACGUUAACAUUACGCAGCGAUUAUAUCAGUGCACAAACGCCUUGCAUUUUUAAAUAGCAAUACACAUUCUGCUACAAUCUUGCUCGUGCACUUUAUCUUGCAACUCGUUGCUAUUAUUUUAUUAGAAGGGUUUAACUUGCUGUUAGUUUAUAUAUUUCCUUAGUGCUUCAUUACAAAAAUCUAUCGCCUUCUCUUAAAAUGUCUGACAUUAAAAGCCUUAUGAGGAAACGUGCUUCAAUUAAAGCAAAGCUUACGCAAUUCUCUUCAUACUUAAACAUUGCUAAGUCAUGUGAACAGUUGAGCGAAGUUCAGAUUGUUGAGGUUGAGUAUAGACUUAAUACUAUCGAAAAUCUAUAUGAUAAAUACGACGUGUUACAGGCCGACAUGGAAGAGAUGGUGGACGACCCUAGCGAGCAAUAUGCGGAGCGUGAGGAGUUCGAAAAGCAGUACUACAGCUUGGUGGCUGCAGCACGUCAGCUGAUCAGCAAUGCUCGCAAGCAAGCUUCAGGGAACUCCAUAGCCGAGCGCUGGUGAAUGUGUCGGAUGCUGAAGGCAACGCUCACACCGCGCGAAUCCUGCUGGAUAACGGGAGUACGACUAACCUUAUAUCACAGGAGUUGGCUCGUAAACUUAAUAUUUCCACCUAUACAGUCGAGUCUAAGGAUACCUCGGUGGAUCACGUGUGAACUAUCGUCGUCUGUGCAGUUGCAUGUGUUCACCGACGCGUCUGAAAGGGCGUAUGGUGCUUGUUUGUAUUUCCGCAGCGUAUCGCUUAGUGGACGGAUCGUUAAGGUGCUUCCUGGUAGAGACGGCAUUGCACGAGUCGCCGACAUCCGCACACGUAAGGGUGUCAUUCGGCGAGCGUUCAACACUAUUUGCCCGUUACCCGUCGCCACUGCUGUUGAAGACACUUCAACGGGGGGAGUAUGUUGAGUCGUCCCACUCGCUUCAACCGCGUCCACGACAAGUGGGGGCGACUGUGACGUCGUGGUGCAACGGCUCGCCGCGUAUGCGCCGAGUCCAGAGGUCAAAUCUUGCUUAUGCGCACCGGCCGCGCCCACGCGUUCUUUAAUUCUUAUAAACUUUAAUUUCUUAUGUACUUAAUUGUUGUACUUUAAAGUCAUUAUACGUAUUUACAUGUUAUACA
This 2019-nucleotide unclassified non-coding RNA is filed under the name Helicoverpa zea (corn earworm). Its description in RNAcentral is "uncharacterized LOC124634536, transcript variant X4". Lineage: Eukaryota; Metazoa; Arthropoda; Insecta; Lepidoptera; Noctuidae. The record is from RNAcentral.